This 468-nucleotide ribosomal RNA is filed under the name Metamycoplasma faucium. RNAcentral describes it as "bacterial SSU rRNA". It matches the Rfam family "Bacterial small subunit ribosomal RNA", at positions 28 to 494 of the family's 1533-position model. The record is from RNAcentral. Lineage: Bacteria; Bacillati; Mycoplasmatota; Mycoplasmoidales; Metamycoplasmataceae.
GAUGAACGCUGGCUGUGUGCCUAAUACAUGCAUGUCGAGCGGAAGUAGCAAUACUUUAGCGGCGAAUGGGUGAGUAACACGUGCUUAAUCUACCUUUUAGAUUGGAAUACCUAAUGGAAACAUUGGUUAAUGCCGGAUACGCAUGAAAUCGCAUGAUUUCGUUGUGAAAGGAGCGUUUACUCCACUAAAAGAUGAGGGUGCGGAACAUUAGCUAGUUGGUGAGGUAAUGGCCCACCAAGGCUAUGAUGUUUAGCCGGGUCGAGAGACUGAACGGCCACAUUGGGACUGAGAUACGGCCCAAACUCCUACGGGAGGCAGCAGUAGGGAAUAUUCCACAAUGAGCGAAAGCUUGAUGGAGCGACACAGCGUGCACGAUGAAGGCCCUCGGGUUGUAAAGUGCUGUUGCAAGGGAAGAACACUUAGUUGAGGAAAUGCAACUAAGCUGACGGUACCUUGUUAGAAAGCGAU